AGUGAACGCUGGCGGCAUGCCUAACACAUGCAAGUUGAGCGAGAUUUUGCAGAGUAUCGCAGAAUUUAGCGGCGAACGGGUGAGUAACACGUAGGGAACCUCCCUCAAAAUGGGGAAUAUCUCCGAGAAAUCGGAGUCAAUACCGCAUAAGACCACAGUUUGGCAUCAAACAGGGGUUAAAGCAGCAAUGCGUUUUGAGAUGGUCCUGCGGCCUAUCAGCUAGUUGGUGGGGUAAAGGCCUACCAAGGCUAUGACGGGUAUCCGGCCUGAAAGGGUGAACGGACACACUGGAACUGAGACACGGUCCAGACUCCUACGGGAGGCAGCAGUGGGGAAUUUUGGACAAUGGGGGAAACCCUGAUCCAGCGAUGCCGCGUGGAGGACGAAGGCCUUCGGGUUGUAAACUCCUUUUAGAGGGGACGAAUAAAAUGACGGUACCCUCAGAAAAAGCCACGGCUAACUACGUGCCAGCAGCCGCGGUAAUACGUAGGUGGCGAGCGUUACUUGGAAUUACUAGGCGUAAAGGGUAUGUAGGCGGUCAUAUAAGUCUUUAGUGAAAUUUUUCGGCUCAACCGAAAAGGGUCUAAGGAUACUGUUUGACUUGAGUGUGGGAGAGGGAGACGGAAUUCCUGGUGUAGCGGUGAAAUGCGUAGAUAUCAGGAGGAACACCGAUGGCGAAAGCAGUCUCCUGGACCAAUACUGACGCUGAUGUACGAAAGCUAGGGUAGCAAACAGGAUUAGAUACCCUGCUAGUCCUAGCUGUAAACGAUGUUCACUAGAUGUGGGAGGUAUCGACCCCUUCCGCGUCGGCGCUAACGCAUUAAGUGAACCGCCUGGGGAGUACGGCCGCAAGGUUGAAACUCAAAGGAAUUGACGGGGGGCUCGCACAAGCGGUGGGAGUAUGUGGUUUAAUUCGACGCAACGCGAAAAACCUUUACCUGGGCUUGAACUGCCUAAUGGUAAAAGCCGGAAACGGGUAAUGACCCCGCAAGGGAGUUAGUAGAGGUGCUUCUUGCUUGUCAUCAGCUCGUGUCGUGAAGAGGGGGGGUUGGGGGCCGCAACUGUGCCUCAUCCCUUAUGCCUUGUUACCUGUGGCAAUACAGGGUUUUUGAGGAAACUGCCAUUAAUAAAAUAGAGGAAGGUGAGGACGACGUCAAGUCAUCAUGGCCUUUAUGUUCAGGGAAACACACGUAUUACAAUGGCCGGUACAAAGGGCAGUGAUAUUGUAAAAUGGAGCAAAUCCUUAAAGCCGACCCCAGUUCAGAUUGUGGGCUGCAAUUUGUCCACAUGAAGUAGGAAUCGUUAGUAAUCGCAGAUCAGCAGGCUGCGGUGAAUACGUUCCCGGGCCUUGUACACACUGCCCGUCACACUACGAAAGUCAGUUAUAACAGAAGUCAUUGAGCUAACCGCAAGGAGGCAAAUGCUUAAGUUAUGGUUGGUGAUUGGAGUG
This 1450-nucleotide ribosomal RNA is filed under the name uncultured Elusimicrobia bacterium. RNAcentral describes it as "bacterial SSU rRNA". It matches the Rfam family "Bacterial small subunit ribosomal RNA". The record is from RNAcentral. Lineage: Bacteria; Pseudomonadati; Elusimicrobiota; Elusimicrobia.